This 127-nucleotide small RNA is filed under the name Caenorhabditis elegans. Its description in RNAcentral is "Unclassified non-coding RNA R12B2.14". Lineage: Eukaryota; Metazoa; Nematoda; Chromadorea; Rhabditida; Rhabditidae. The record is from RNAcentral.
GAUUCGGGAAGAGUUGUUAGAAGCCGAGAAGAAGAAAAAUGAUCUUCUCGCGAAACAAAGCAUAAGAAAACGUCAUGAGCAUGAAUUAAUCAACGAACAGAGCAAUGCGAAGGCAGAACUUAAAAAU